RNAcentral lists this small RNA (283 nucleotides) under Jaculus jaculus (lesser Egyptian jerboa). RNAcentral's name for it is "7SK RNA (ENSJJAG00000005588.1)". It matches the Rfam family "7SK RNA". From Rfam's summary of the family: 7SK was discovered as an abundant small nuclear RNA in the mid-70s but a possible function has only recently been suggested. Two independent studies have found that 7SK RNA binds the CDK9/cyclin T complex (known as elongation factor P-TEFb). Lineage: Eukaryota; Metazoa; Chordata; Mammalia; Rodentia; Dipodidae. The record is from Rfam by way of RNAcentral.
GGCUGUGAGAACAAGCUGACUGUGACAUCUGUCACCCUACUGACUGCCAGAGUUGACUGGGCUGAUCUGGCAGGCUAGACUAAUGUCCCAUCCUCCCUCACCAGUCCAUGUUGUCCCUCCUAUGGCUGUGUACUCUAGGGGACAACCUUUCCUGACAGAGGAGGACCAUUUACCAGUCAGGGCUGUGAGCAGCAGUGGUCUACUGCUGAAACAAGGUGGAGGAAGUACUCAAGCCACUGAAGUGAAAAACAGAGAAGAACCAAUGAAGCCACACAGGCUCUCU